Molecule: long non-coding RNA, 3747 nt
Organism: Solanum dulcamara
Lineage: Eukaryota; Viridiplantae; Streptophyta; Magnoliopsida; Solanales; Solanaceae
Exons: 8
Source: RefSeq, a predicted model, not a curated record
AAACUCUCUGUACGUUAUAUUUUUCUUUUCUCUCUGACAAAUUAACCAAAGAUUGUAGCUUCAUAGCAAAGGAGGAAAAGAGCUCAAUUGAUCAUUACUAUGAGUUUGUGUGUUAACCUUUCUUAGGAAAGCAGGAAACUAUCACCAAUUUAUGGCAUCUUCUAUUUGUCGUCUUCAUGUAAUUUUAUUGCUCCCACAGUUUCUUAGUUGCAACUAACUUUGUGUUGCCUUCACACUUAUGUAGCCUACACUAUCACAAUGGAACGGAGGCUUAACAUCGACGCAAUCACACCAUAGGUUCCAGAAUGGACUUGCAAAGUUUUGGUCGUCGAUAAGUUUAGCCCUCGAGAGAGCAAAACUCAGACUGUUCAUUUCCAAACAAUAAUUGUACAAGAUGAAAACGAAGAACAUGUUGCAAUAGUUCCGUACGGUGAUGACAUUACCAGGUGUCAAAAAUUAUUCACCCCUUUCGGGACAUAUCUGAUUUCGGGUACUAAUGUUAGGGACCCGCGAGUGUACUCAGUACGAACAGAUACGUUUGAGUGGGUUGCCGAUAGGUACAAAAUUGUAGCAGCAGUUACAAAUCGUGGAGUCAAUGAGGCACCAUUACCUCCUCCAAGAAAGUUGAAUAUACUUCCUUUUCCGGAUCAUGAACUUCAACUUCCAGGCGCUGAAUUUUGAUUUGCUAGCAAUAGUAGCAAAUUGCAGUGCCAUGUAGUAUACUGCUGAUCAAACUAAGAGGUACCGGGAGGCCACUGUUAUGGACAACAAGUAAGUCAUUUAGUUUCAAUCAAAAUGACAAUAAUAACAUUUACGAGAUAUAUCUUUUUCACUUAGGCCAAACUUGUUCUACAUUCCUUGUAUCUCACUUUCACAUUUUUUACAACAUUUGCUUGGUAAUAACCUAUCCAACGCUCAUGUUAUUUAACAAGAAGCUGGGACGAUCUAGCGGAGAAUGAAGGAGCUGCACUAUUAUGACAGGUACACGAGCAUCCUGUUAUUCUUGUGCUGGGAAAAAGGAGAACAUAUAAGUAGUUUUGAUGAUUGAUAAAUUGAACCUGGUUCACUACUUGUUAUCUAUGUGUACUCUAUCAGGUGAACCAGGUCCCCAGAUGUGAAUGCGGACAUCAUGGGAGAUUGCAGCAAAGAAGGAAACUAAUAAAUUGCAGAAAUAGCGAAAAAAGAAAUAGCUGAAAUAAAGGAGCAAAGAAGAAAAGAAAUAAAAAGUACAGUUAAAGUCCAAAGAGGAGUUAAAAUGAUAUGAACUCAUUGUAUGUUCAUCGAGUUCUUUGGUUGUUGAUUUUCAAUGAUGCCAAAAGGGGAAGUUAUAUGAUGUGGGUUUGGGACAUAUUGUGCAUAGUUUGGCAUCAUCAAAAACGGGGAAAUUGUUGGGGAAUAAGAGAACAUGAUGUUUGUAGUUUUGAUGAUUGACAAAGGGUUUGGGACAUAUUGUGCAUAGUUUAUCAUUAUCAAAAAAGGGAAAAUUGUUGGGGAAUAAGAGAACAUGAUGUUUUAGUUUUGAUGAUUGACAAAGUAUUUUGUUUGACAAAUUAAACUAUGAUGCAUUAUAUAUCAUCAUCAAAAAGGGGGGGAAAUUGCUGGGAAAAAGGAGAACAUAUAAGUAGUUUUGAUUGAUUAAUUGAACUUGGUUCAAUACUUGCUAUCUAUGCGUACUCUAUCAGAUGAACCAGGUCCAGGUCCCCAGACGUGAAUGCGGACAUCAUGGGAGAUUGCGGCAAAGAAGGAAACUAAUAAAUUGCAGAAAUAAAGGAGCGAAAAAAGAAAUAGCUAAAGUAAAGGAGCAAAGAAGGAAAGAAAUAAAGAGUACAGUUAAAGUCCAAAGAGGAGUCAAAGUUUCCUUAUAGAAUGAAACUCCUUUUAACAAAGGAAAUCAGAAAUUUCCUUAUUAGAGGACAAGUCCAAAGAGGAGUCAAAGUUUUCUUAUAGAAUGAAAGUCCUUUUAAGGAAGUAAAUCAGAAAUUUCCUUAUAAGAGGACAAGUCCUAUUCGAAGUAAAAGUCCUAAUCCGUGAUAUACUAAGGCAUGACAAAUCUCCAGUAUAUAUAUGGCAUGAAAGAACAUUGAGAACGACACCUAUUUCAUACUCACGAAAUUCAUCAUCUUGAGAGCAAUAGCCAUUGGAGCAAAACUGCAAGAGUUCGUCACAGCAACACUGGAACCUGGUUCACGAGUUGUGUUCGAGUCUGAAUUAUUGAGUAUUAAAGUUUGAUCAAUUAAAGACUAGGGUUAUUAGUCUUUAUUGAGUUUGUAGUAGGAUUAUUAUUGAGUUAUAAUAAUUCCUAGAUUGAAGAGAGUAAUUGUGUGGGUAAGGUUUGUAACAAGAAGCGAAUUUGACUUCUUGGAGAGAAGUUAGAACAGUUUGAGUGAACUGUUGAGUUGAGGUACUAGAGUUAGUCUCUUAGAUUAUAGAGUUGGAAUCUGAAAUCACUCUUUGAAGUUAGUGGAGGUUGCUGGAAAUCCUACACGCUGUAGGUUGUGGUUUUUUAUUUCCUUGAGCAAGGAAGUUUUUCACGAAAAAUUAAGUGUUAUUUACUUUCUGUUCUAAUACGACUCUAGGAAACAGGUUCCUAGAUAUAACUGUUGGUGCACAGUUUUCUUUCAUCUUGCAAAACGGGUAGCUGUUACUGAUUAUCGUCGUGUUUUAAUCUUGACAACAAGAUACAAUUCAACAAUUUUAAUCAACCCUCAAUACGUGCAAGCUACUGAACUAAUGAACUAGUAUGACUUAAGUUUCCUCUCAUUCUGAUAUGCCAUCCUUGGUUGACAGCUUUCUAUAUGGAAAAAAGGGUCAUAUUUACUGUCACAUUUUUCAGGCCCAAAGAGAAUGAAUGAAUGCUUCUAGCUUACACUUUAAGAAGUUCAUCUGAGCCAUAUUCGUCCCUCAAUCUUGCAUCUGUUGAAGAUGAGACAGUAUCUAUUUCAGACAUUCCUUCAUUGCCGGCUAUAGUACAAACUUUCCCCGUUGAAGGUCAAAUAUCAUUGCCCAAUUACCCUCAGUCAUUUUACAUGUUUGCAUGCUCAAAUUGCAAUCAUUUUGUGCGUUCUAAAGCCCGGAGAAAAGUUCAAUGUCUGAACUGUGACCUACCCAGAAUGUUAGUUCCAAGGUAUCACUUUGAGCUUGAGAUAGCAGACAACACUGGUACACUGACAGCAAUGGUCUCGGAAACAUUAGCUGAAAAAAUAUUAUUCAUGACAGCCAAACAAGUAUAGGAAACUGUCGCUGCCCAGAAUCAAUCAUUGCUUGUUGCCGCUAUCAAUCGUCAGUUUGGCCAUAAGCUUUUCAGCCUUCAACUACUAAAGCCGUUGUUCAGAUUUCCCAAUCAAAAAAUGGUUACACUGGCUGUCUCAUCCUACGCUGAAAAACAACCCCCAACAUUUACGCUUCCGAGCGAAGGAACUAAGAAGUAGCAGCAGAAGCAAUGCUCAUGUACAACCAGAUUUUGAUCGACGAUACUAACUUUAAAAAACCAGCCACCUCAACAAAGUUUCCUUUUUAGAGGGGCAUACUGACAUCCCACAUCAACUACAGCUCUUGACAACCAAAUCAUUAUGUUUACAAUUUUUGUGUACAUAUAACCCGUGGCGGAGCUACAUGGGAGUGAGGGGUUCACCCGAACCCUUUCAAUCGAAAAGUUACGUUGUAUAUAGAAGGCUAAAUUUGAAUUUUAUGGCUAUAUACCAUUUAUUGAACCCCUUAGAACAAUUAAAAAGAGUGGCUCAAUGGGCA